GCAGUAGCCGCGGUAAUACAGAGGGUGCAAGCGUUAAUCGGAAUUACUGGGCGUAAAGCGCGCGUAGGUGGUUUGUUAAGUUGGAUGUGAAAGCACCGGGCUCAACCUGGGAACUGCAUCCAAAACUGGCAAGCUAGAGUACGGUAGAGGGUGGUGGAAUUUCCUGUGUAGCGGUGAAAUGCGUAGAUAUAGGAAGGAACACCAGUGGCGAAGGCGACCACCUGGACUGAUACUGACACUGAGGUGCGAAAGCGUGGGGAGCAAACAGGAUUAGAUACCCGUGUAGUCCCUGUCUCUUAUAC
This 302-nucleotide ribosomal RNA is filed under the name uncultured bacterium. Its description in RNAcentral is "partial 16S ribosomal RNA". It matches the Rfam family "Bacterial small subunit ribosomal RNA", at positions 508 to 807 of the family's 1533-position model. The record is from RNAcentral.